UGGGGAAUAUUGGGCAAUGGGCGCAAGCCUGACCCAGCAAUGCCGCGUGGGUGAAGAAGGUCUUCGGAUUGUAAAGCCCUUUCGGCGGGGACGAUGAUGACGGUACCCGCAGAAGAAGCCCCGGCCAACUUCGUGCCAGCAGCCGCGGUAAUACGAAGGGGGCUAGCGUUGCUCGGAAUCACUGGGCGUAAAGGGCGCGUAGGCGGCCCUGCUUGUCGGGCGUGAAAUCCCGGGGCUCAACCCCGGGGCUGCGCCCGAGACGGCGGGGCUUGAGUGCGGGAGAGGGCCGCGGAAUUCCCAGUGUAGAGGUGAAAUUCGUAGAUAUUGGGAAGAACACCGGUGGCGAAGGCGGCGGCCUGGCCCGUGACUGACGCUGAGGCGCGACAGCGUGGGGAGCAAACA
RNAcentral lists this ribosomal RNA (402 nucleotides) under uncultured Acetobacteraceae bacterium. Its description in RNAcentral is "bacterial SSU rRNA". It matches the Rfam family "Bacterial small subunit ribosomal RNA", at positions 355 to 774 of the family's 1533-position model. Lineage: Bacteria; Pseudomonadati; Pseudomonadota; Alphaproteobacteria; Acetobacterales; Acetobacteraceae. The record is from RNAcentral.